Dermacentor silvarum is the source of this 542-nucleotide long non-coding RNA. RefSeq lists it as uncharacterized. The record is from RefSeq and is a predicted model, not a curated record. The transcript has 4 exons. NCBI's taxonomy places the organism in Eukaryota, Metazoa, Arthropoda, Arachnida, Ixodida, Ixodidae.
GGUGGGCGGCCAGUGCGUACAGUGCCUCGACUCCGGUAACCAGACCGCUGCCGACUCCACCAAGGCAGCCAGGUAGCGCUCGAAGCCGGUGCCAGACAACAAAGCCCUUGCUGUGGCCAACUGGAGCGCGCAGUGGCUCGUGGUCGGCGCAUCUACCUGAGCUAAACGCCAUGUUGCUUUUUCUCCUGGUAGUUUCCAGCAUGAUCUUUGGAGCAUGGCUGUUCAUCGCAGUUCCGCGGUGGCUACUUCACCUCGUGGGAUUCGGACCGACGGGAGUGAAGCCACGUAGUCUGGCAGCCUCGUGGCAGUCCUUCCUGCGCGGCCGCGUCAAGAAACACGGCUGCUUCUCUACACUGCAACAGUGGGGAAUGAUUGGCCUACCUAUCUGGUCGAAGAUAUUCCUUGGUUACCUUGGAGCCCUAUGGGGCAUACAUUUGUUAGUGUAGGACUGGGGCAUGCUCCUUCCAAAUCACCCAGGCAUAGACCGCGGUCGUGGAAAAAUGGUAAAUGUCGCAGCAGUGAAUGGUCUAGGGAGAGCGAAG